RNAcentral lists this long non-coding RNA (1404 nucleotides) under Equus caballus (horse). RNAcentral's name for it is "lncRNA (ENSECAG00000049326.1)". The record is from RNAcentral. Lineage: Eukaryota; Metazoa; Chordata; Mammalia; Perissodactyla; Equidae.
CACUGGUAAAUAUAAUUCAGCUGACGGGGCACUGCCAGGUCCACCGAGCAAUACUGUGCUCACAGGAUUGAUAUUUGUGACCUAUAAAACAAUGAUUUAAGACAGGUGACUCAGUCUUCAUGCAUGUAACUCCUUGAUUCUUGGUGGGCCCCAGCUGGUCAGGGGCUCAGUCUUUAUCUAGUAGCUUCCCCUGCUAAUUCUUGCGAUCAUCACCAACUCUAGUCUACCAUUUUGGGAGGGGAUGUAUCUACAUUUGUAAUUGUUUUAUUCCCAGCAUCCAGCACAGUGCCUGGCACAUGGUUUUUUGGAGAAGGAGGCGUUUAAUUAUAAAUGGGAAUUCGGGUAAGAGGCUUCAAGUCUGGAGUGUUCCAGAGCUCCGUGGAGGUCACACAGCCUCAGUCUUCCAUUUAGGACACCUGAGAGUGGUUGAGAUUUAAAUAGUUUUCAAACGUGGCCACUCAUUGGAAUCACCUGGGGAGCUUUAACACGUCGGUCUUGGGAUUCUAAAGUAAUUGGUUUGAGGUGCACCUUGGGCUUUGGGAAAUUUUCCCAGAUGAUUCUACUAUGGAGCCAUGGUUGAGAACCAAAGUGAGAGUCUUCUCUUCUGCGGAUAUGGAUACUUAAUGUUACUGCUGAUGAGUCUCAAGUGAGCGCAUCCAUUUGUUUCCUUCUCUGAAGUUACCAACAAAGGGAGAGGUGUUCCAUCCUUCAUGGAAAUCAGUGUAUUUUCUCUCGAAGACAUUUUGGCUGAUUGGUGACAGAUUCACACAGCCUGCUUUCCUUUCCUCUUUACAAUGGAUACCUCCCACUUUGUGCUUUGGGGUUCUCUCCAUUUCCCCUCCCCACUUACCCCUAGCCCUCUACUAGCUUUAGAGUGGAAUAUAAUCUGCUAUUCAUUCCUCUGCCUUGUGGGCUCCCAAGAGCAUUUGGUUUUAAGGGCUUCCUACUAAUCACUAUGAGGAAACUGGUAUAGAGCAAUGAAACAUAGGGAAGUUACCAAGGUUCCAGAAGUUUCUAACCAUCUUGAUAAUGGCAGUCUCUUCUAUAGCUCACACGCCUCCCUCUGAGAUGGUGACCAGAAGCCCGGGCCCACCAAAUCUCUCCCCUGGCUGUAAUUUAUUUCUUCUUUUCCUUUUUAGAUGAAGAACAUGGCAAGGUUCAGCCAUUAGCCCCCGCCCCUGCCUGCCUGCUUCUGCAUGCAGGCAGAUAACAAGUGGAUCCUGGUAUUAAGAAAGAUGUUUCGCUUGUCUGAGACCCUCCAGCCUAGGGGAUAGCUACCUACUUCACCGCCUUUUAUUGUGUCAGCCUGGGCACCUAAUCUUUUUUAAAACAUUACCUCUAUGGAAAAAUGUGUUUCAAAUUGUAAAAGACUCACAUACAAAUAAGCUUUUUGGAACUCAAUCU